CAGUAGCCACGGUAAAACGUAGGUGGCAAGCGUUGUCCGGAAUUAUUGGGCGUAAAGCGCGCGCAGGCGGUUUCUUAAGUCUGAUGUGAAAGCCCCCGGCUUAACUGGGGAGGGUCAUUGGAAACUGGGAGACUUAGAGUGCAGAAGAGGAGAGUGGAAUUCCAUGUGUAGCGGUGAAAUGCGUAGAUAUAUGGAGGAACACCAGUGGCGAAGGCGACUCUCUGGUCUGUAACUGACGCUGAGGCGCGAAAGCGUGGGGAGCAAACAGGAUUAGAUACCCCGGUAGUCCCUGUCUCUUAUA
Molecule: ribosomal RNA, 301 nt
Filed under: uncultured bacterium
Lineage: Bacteria
Description: partial 16S ribosomal RNA
Rfam family: Bacterial small subunit ribosomal RNA
Source: RNAcentral